Molecule: long non-coding RNA, 232 nt
Filed under: Aedes aegypti (yellow fever mosquito)
Lineage: Eukaryota; Metazoa; Arthropoda; Insecta; Diptera; Culicidae
Description: lncRNA AAEL025941
Source: RNAcentral
AAAUCAGCGGGUUGCGCUGUUUGAGCAUAGCCAAAUAACUGCUGGCUCAGCGGGAUCGAUUAAGUGGCGUCGACUGGCCUUUGUUCCUUGGCAGGCGACGAACUGCUGACUCCUCGGAUUCCUCCUGGCUGAUGCAAUAGCGGUGGCCGGAUGUGGGUUGCAACAUCAGCGUACCUGUGGCUGACCGUUGGCUGUGUCGCCAAAGCCAAGCGUGAGCUACGGCUUUCUCGCC